UGGCCUGACAUGACUUCUAUAAUGGCUUACAGGCUAUUGGCUUGUUAAUUGGGGUUGAAGAUGUUUCACCGGAAAAACAAGCUGAUUUUCUUUCGGCAUUGCUUAAUCCCCUUUGCCAGCAGGUGGAGGUGUUGCUGCAAAAUGCCAAACUUCACGAUUCUGAAGAAUCUCCUGCAAAGAUUGCUAACAUUCAGCAAAUCAUCAUGGCGAUUAAUGCCCUGAGCAAGGGAUUCAGUGAGCGGCUUGUGAAUUCUUGAUCUCAUCUGAGUUCCCUUCCUGCU
Impatiens glandulifera is the source of this 281-nucleotide long non-coding RNA. RefSeq lists it as uncharacterized. NCBI's taxonomy places the organism in Eukaryota, Viridiplantae, Streptophyta, Magnoliopsida, Ericales, Balsaminaceae. The transcript has 3 exons. The record is from RefSeq and is a predicted model, not a curated record.